ACGGAAGGCAGCAGUGAGGAAUAUUGGUCAAUGGAGGCGACUCUGAACCAGCCAUCUCGCGUGAAGGAAUACGGCCCUACGGGUCUUAAACCUCUUUUAUAGGGGGAUAAAGUGAGGCAUGCAUGCCUUUUUGUAGGUACCCUAUGAAUAAGCAUCGGCUAACUCCGUGCCAGCAGCCGCGGUAAUACGGAGGAUGCGAGCGUUAUCCGGAUUUAUUGGGUUUAACGGGUGCGCAGGCGGCACGUUAAGUCAGCGGUGAAAUGCAGGGGCUCAACCCCGGCACUGCCGUUGAAACUGGCGAGCUCGAGUACGGAUGAAGUUGGCGGAAUGUGAUGUGUAGCGGUGAAAUGCUUAGAUAUGUCACAGAACACCGAUUGCGAAGGCAGCUGACUAAUCCGCAACUGACGCUCAGGCACGAAAGCGUGGGGAUCGAACAGGAUUAGAUACCCUGGUA
This 454-nucleotide ribosomal RNA is filed under the name uncultured Porphyromonas sp. RNAcentral describes it as "partial 16S ribosomal RNA". It matches the Rfam family "Bacterial small subunit ribosomal RNA", at positions 341 to 792 of the family's 1533-position model. The record is from RNAcentral. Lineage: Bacteria; Pseudomonadati; Bacteroidota; Bacteroidia; Bacteroidales; Porphyromonadaceae.